This 492-nucleotide ribosomal RNA is filed under the name uncultured bacterium. RNAcentral describes it as "partial 16S ribosomal RNA". It matches the Rfam family "Bacterial small subunit ribosomal RNA", at positions 29 to 507 of the family's 1533-position model. The record is from RNAcentral.
AGUGAACGCUGGCGGUAGGCCUAACACAUGCAAGUCGAACGGCAGCACAGUACUUGCUUGCUGUUACGGGUGGCGAGUGGCGGACGGGUGAGGAAUAUAUCGGAAUCUACUUUUUCGUAGGGCAUAACGUAGGGAAACUUACGCUAAUACCGCAUACGACGUACGGGUGAAAGCAGGGGAUCUUCGGACCUUGCGCGAUUGAAUGAGCCGAUGUCGGAUUAGCUAGUUGGCGGGGUAAAGGCCCACCAAGGCGACGAUCCGUAGCUGGUCUGAGAGGAUGAUCAGCCACACUGGAACUGAGACACGGUCCAGACUCCUACGGGAGGCAGCAGUGGGGAAUAUUGGACAAUGGGCGCAAGCCUGAUCCAGCCAUACCGCGUGGGUGAAGAAGGCCUUCGGGUUGUAAAGCCCUUUUGUUGGGAAAGAAAAGCAGCAGGUUAAUACCCCGCUGUUCUGACGGUACCAAAAGAAUAAGCACCGGCUAACUUCGUG